GUUGGAUAAAUGGCAAAUCCGCUCACAACUUAUAUAAUAAUUUACAAUAUAUGAACGCUGAUUCCAAAAUUUUCUCUGGUGAUGUAUACAUUUUAUUAUUAUGUUGUUUGAAACAAUUUAAGAUCUACAAUUAUUAAUUUGACUAGAAAAAAAGAAAAAAGAAAAAAGAAGAAUCUGCUGCACGAUUUAUUAAUUUGUUACAAAAGAAAGCCCUUAACAAGAAAGUAUUUCGGCCGCCGUGCUGCUGGGGCUGAAGCCAUAAUUAAAUAAUUAUAGCCGCAUUCACAUCCUCUGCUGCAUGAUCUUUAAUGAGGUUGCUAGAUUUUGAGCAAUGAAAAAGGUCACAAAUUUGUCAAAAAAGAUGUCAAUAUAAAUACACACACACACACACACACACACUGUUAUAACAAAAGUAAAAAUUGCAGAUAACAUCAAAUAAAUGAAUGCCAAGCAGCAAGGCAACAGAAAUGAAAAAGUAAAUGGAGAGAAAAAGACGAGGAAGGCAGAGAGCCAGGGAAGAGGCAGUGCAUGGGAGGAGCCAAAACAGAGAACCUGUUAAUGGUUCCAUCCAUGCUCUGCCUGUUCCCCGUCUUUUGUCUCUUGCUUCUUGCCUCUCUCUCACGCACACACCAAAGAGUUAUUAUUACCUCGUACCCCCCUUACCAUUGCCGUCUCAGAGUCCGGCUCUCACUCCCUCAAAAACCUUACCUGGGCUACAAUGCUCAGGCUCAGGCUCAGGCUCACAAAGGAAGAUAACAAGUGUUGAUGUUAAAUAGUACACGCAUGUUAUGUACUAUCGCAUCCUCCGUGGACUAGCUGCCCGUGUACUACCAAUUUCAUAUAAAUGUUUUGAUUUUGAAUAUCGGGAGGAGCACCUAAAACUUCCCCAUGUACUACACACGCACCGCGCUUACUUUCUUGUACUACUCAUGGAUUAUGAUGGUACUCCAUCCACUCCCACUAUUCUCCCUCUCACUAACAAACUAAUUAUUAAUUAUUUCUUAUUUCUUUUUCAGCUUAGGCUAACAGCUCACUGUUGAUCCCUUUCCAUAAUUCGGUAAAUCUUGUUAAAGGAUUUCCCAACCAAUUAAUAAUGGGAAAUUAUUCACCAACCACUUGUUUUUUUUAGUUUUUUUUUAAAAUACACAUUUUUUUUUAGUUGAUUUCUACUAAAAGUUUUUUUUUUUUUGCACUUUUCCACUUCCGUUUGUAUUCUGUUGUAACUUUACUGAUGUUAUAGGGGUAAAUUUGUCAUUUCACUUACAUAGCAAAAAUAAACGUCAUUUAAAUGCGGUAAAAAGAGUAAAAAAAAGUGAAAAUAUUCUAGAUUAUUUUGUUUAACUUAUUAUUUAAUGUCUAAAUUGCAAAGAAAAAGUGAAGCAAUUUAAUUUUUUUAUUUAAUUAUGGUGAAAUAGUAAUUUUACAUUAAGAGGUAAAAUAAUCAUUUUGUUAAUAUUUUGUUAACUUCUCUUACGAAAUUUAGACGACAAUGAAAAAAUGAUACAUUUUAUAACUUCUGGUGGAAAUUAAUUAAAAAAAAAGUUAUAUGCAUUUUUAAAAAAAUCUAAAAAAACAGGUAGUCGGUGAAUAAUUAUCUGAUAAUUGUCCAUUAUUAUAUUUAUUUGGCCUGGCUUCUUAAAUAAAAUUUUACAGCUAAGAGAAUCUAUAGUGCAAGGAACUAAACACUUAAUAAAUUCACAUAACUUUAUUACGAAACCCGGAGCAUAACAGUCGUACUGAGAUAAUGCGAAGAAAAAGUUAAGCAGCA
Molecule: long non-coding RNA, 1768 nt
Filed under: Citrus x clementina
Lineage: Eukaryota; Viridiplantae; Streptophyta; Magnoliopsida; Sapindales; Rutaceae
Description: Citrus clementina (C. clementina) long non-coding RNA (CCLE_LNC004688)
Rfam family: MIR408 microRNA precursor family (bases 492-610)
Source: RNAcentral